CUUCUAAGAGGGACCAAGCAGAUAUCUGUCGAGCUCAAGGAGGAAGAUGUUUUUAUGGGAAAUGUGUCGGAAAUUAUACGCAACGCGGAUACUGUACCCCUCGCAGCGUUUGCUGUUUUAGGAAGAGGUGGAUAUAAUGUCUCAGCUGACAAGAUCAUCAUAGCCUGCUCCACUGCCCACCUCUCAAGCUCCACCCUCAGAACUUUCUCCAAAUGAAAGAAUUAUCAAAUGUUCUUCAAUUAAAUGCUGCAAAAUUCAUCUUUGCUUUCCAUGCAUUAAACUGCUUUGCUUAAUAAAAGCCACAAUGCAAUG
Pogona vitticeps (central bearded dragon) is the source of this 312-nucleotide non-coding RNA. The record is from RefSeq and is a predicted model, not a curated record. NCBI's taxonomy places the organism in Eukaryota, Metazoa, Chordata, Lepidosauria, Squamata, Agamidae.